This 76-nucleotide transfer RNA is filed under the name bacterium HR20. RNAcentral's name for it is "tRNA-Val". It matches the Rfam family "tRNA". From Rfam's summary of the family: Transfer RNA (tRNA) molecules are approximately 80 nucleotides in length. Their secondary structure includes four short double-helical elements and three loops (D, anti-codon, and T loops). The record is from RNAcentral. RNAcentral also lists the same sequence under 1 other name.
GGGUGGUUAGCUCAGGUGGUUUAGAGCGUCUGCCUUACAAGCAGAAGGUCGGGAGUUCGACUCUCUCACCACCCAC